CCCAAAAUCCCAAUCCAAUCCAACCCAGCGCGAACGCACCUCUCUACAUAUCCCUCCUCCGAUCUACAGCCGCCGCCGCCGCCGCCGCGCCGUGGUUAGCGCCAGCAACCGGACGCUCCAGUCCCGCCCGGCGCACUUCCAACUCCCGCCUCCCACCUCGCGUCUCCGCCAUCGCCCCCUGAUAACCCGUUCCCAUUUUUCCUCAUCGCGACGUCGCCUUCCUGCUGUCUCAACCCCGUCUGCAAUCUUUGGCCAUUUGGUGUUGAGGAAGAAUACCAUGGAGAUCAGACCCAUGGUAGCUCUGCGCGCAGCCCUAGUUGGUGGCGUAGCAGCAUUUGCGAAAAUUGCUGGGGCGAUGAAAGCUGCAGGAGGCGUGAAGGUUGGUGCAGCGGCUGCAGCCAUGACAGCAGCAGCAACGGCUGCUGUAUCCGGAAAAGACACGGCUAAUGAUAACCAAAAGCCAGGAGCAAAAUGAUAUAUGCCAUGAAUUUGGUUGAAAAGCAAUGUAUGAAAAUUGCUUCUCCAGAAUUUAGAUCAGCAUUCAGCAGUUUAUCAGUGCUGAAGAGUUGUGGAAGCUAAUUGUGGUCUUCGACAUGAUAAAAUAAGUUAUCGGAGCAAUUUUAAUGAUACACGUGUUAUCUACUCUGGUAUAAGAGUUACAUUGUCCCGAGUUCCUCUAUUUAUGAUUUGUUUCCAUGCAA
Long non-coding RNA from Lolium rigidum, 701 nucleotides. RefSeq lists it as uncharacterized. The record is from RefSeq and is a predicted model, not a curated record. The transcript is spliced from 2 exons. NCBI's taxonomy places the organism in Eukaryota, Viridiplantae, Streptophyta, Magnoliopsida, Poales, Poaceae.